AUUGAACGCUGGCGGCAGGCUUAACACAUGCAAGUCGAGCGAGCGGCGGACGGGUGAGUAAUUUCUGGGAAACUGCCUGAUGGAGGGGGAUAACUACUGGAAACGGUAGCUAAUACCGCAUACCAUCAUAUUUCCACAGAUGGGAUUAGCUAGUAGGUGGUGUAAUGGCUCCCCUAGGCGACGAUCCCUAGCUGGUCUGAGAGGAUGACCAGCCAGACUGGAACUGAGACACGGGCCAGAGUCCUAAGGGAGGCAGCAGGGGGGAAUAUUGCACAAGGGGCGCAAGCCUGAUGCAGCCAUGCCGCGUGUGUGAAGAAGGCCUUCGGGUUGUAAAGCACUUUCAGCGCGGAGGCGUUACUCGCAGAAGAAGCACCGGCUAACUCCGUGCCAGCAGCCGCGGUAAUUC
This 406-nucleotide ribosomal RNA is filed under the name uncultured bacterium. RNAcentral's name for it is "partial 16S ribosomal RNA". It matches the Rfam family "Bacterial small subunit ribosomal RNA", at positions 30 to 526 of the family's 1533-position model. The record is from RNAcentral.